Non-coding RNA from Pelobates cultripes (western spadefoot toad), 282 nucleotides. NCBI's taxonomy places the organism in Eukaryota, Metazoa, Chordata, Amphibia, Anura, Pelobatidae. The record is from the annotation of a GenBank genome assembly.
CAGAGGAUGGUGGAUCGGCUAUUGGAUGGGUUCCAGGAGUACGCUUGCGCCUAUUUAGACGACAUAGCAAUCUUCAGCCAUUCCUGGACCGAACACCUGACCCAUAUAGGAGCCGUACUAGACCGCAUUAGGGAGGCAGGGUUAACCCUUAAACCCAGUAAGUGCCAUAUAGGGAUGGCUGAAGUUCAGUAUUUAGGGCACCGGGUAGGAAGCGGCCAGCAAAAGCCAGAACCCGCCAAGGUAGAGGCCGUAGCCAAAUGGCCAACACCGCGUACCAAAAUC